CCAAUAGCGUAUAUUAAAGUUGUUGCAGUUAAAAAGCUCGUAGUUGAAUUUCGGGGUUAGUAGAUUGGUCAUGCCUCUGGUAUGCACUGGUCUCACUGAUUCCUCCUUCCUGAUGAGCCGUAAUGCCAUUAAUUUGGUGUUGCGGGGAAUUUGGACUGUUACUUUGAAAAAAUUAGAGUGUUUAAAGCAAGCUAACGCUUGAAUACAUUAGCAUGGAAUAAUGAAAUAGGACGUUCGAUCCUAUUUUGUUGGUUUCUAGGAUUGACGUAAUGAUUAAUAGGGAUAGUUGGGGGCAUUAGUAUUCAAUUGUCAGAGGUGAAAUUCUUGGAUUUAUUGAAGACUAACUACUGCGAAAGCAUUUGCCAAGGAUGUUUUCAUUAAUCAAGAACGAAAGUUAGGGGAUCGAAGACGAUCAGAUACCGUCGUAGUCUUAACCAUAAACUAUGCCGACGAGGGAUCGGAUGAUGUUAAUUUUUUAAUGACUCAUUCGGCGCCUUACG
This 500-nucleotide ribosomal RNA is filed under the name uncultured Glomeromycotina. RNAcentral's name for it is "partial small subunit ribosomal RNA". It matches the Rfam family "Eukaryotic small subunit ribosomal RNA", at positions 591 to 1092 of the family's 1831-position model. The record is from RNAcentral. Lineage: Eukaryota; Fungi; Glomeromycota.